This 72-nucleotide transfer RNA is filed under the name Geoalkalibacter subterraneus. RNAcentral's name for it is "tRNA-Phe (GAA) (tRNA-Phe-GAA-2-1)". Lineage: Bacteria; Pseudomonadati; Thermodesulfobacteriota; Desulfuromonadia; Desulfuromonadales; Geoalkalibacteraceae. The record is from RNAcentral.
AAUACAAAGGAAAGUAUUUUCCGUGGACUGAAAAUCCUCGUGUCGGCAGUUCGAUUCUGUCCCUGGGCACCA